Molecule: ribosomal RNA, 504 nt
Filed under: uncultured bacterium
Lineage: Bacteria
Description: partial 16S ribosomal RNA
Rfam family: Bacterial small subunit ribosomal RNA
Source: RNAcentral
AUUGAACGCUGGCGGCAGGCCUAACACAUGCAAGUCGAACGGUAGCACAGAGAGCUUGCUCUCGGGUGACGAGUGGCGGACGGGUGAGUAACGUCUGGGAAACUGCCCGAUGGAGGGGGAUAACUACUGGAAACGGUAGCUAAUACCGCAUAACGUCGCACGACCAAAGUGGGGGACCUUCGGGCCUCACACCAUCGGAUGUGCCCAGAUGGGAUUAGCUAGUAGGUGGGGUAAUGGCUCACCUAGGCGACGAUCCCUAGCUGGUCUGAGAGGAUAACCAGCCAAACUGGAACUGCGACACAGUCCAGACUCCUACGUGAGGCAGCAGUGGGGAAUAUUGCACAAUGGGCGCAAGCCUGAUGCAGCCAUGCCGCGUGUAUGAAGAAGGCCUUCGGGUUGUAAAGUACUUUCAGCGGGGAGGAAGGCGGUGAAGUUAAUAACUUCACCGAUUGACGUUACCCGCAGAAGAAGCACCGGCUAACUCCGUGCCAGCAGCCGCAGUAA